Pristis pectinata (smalltooth sawfish) is the source of this 1308-nucleotide long non-coding RNA. RefSeq lists it as uncharacterized. NCBI's taxonomy places the organism in Eukaryota, Metazoa, Chordata, Chondrichthyes, Rhinopristiformes, Pristidae. The transcript is spliced from 5 exons. The record is from RefSeq and is a predicted model, not a curated record.
GCGGAAGUGGCCGUUGCUAGGGCGGAUGUGGGCGUCACUGGUGAAGUUGUUGUGCCAAUGGCGAGUGGAAUGGUUCCUUUAAGGAAAUAACAGUGAGGAAUAGGACCAUGGCUCUCAUGAAGGCAGAGCCUGCCCUUGAUAGAGGAGACCAUCCUGCAACUGAAGAGCAGAAGUCACUGAGUCCUGGUCUACCAGAAUCAAAUGCAAUCUGCAAUUUUCCAGCUCUUGUAGGACUGGGUUCGACGUGUGUUAGACUGAUGCACCAUUUCUGAAUAUCAUGGGGCAAAGAAUAUGAAAUAAUUGUUAAAAAGUGGGAACAAGUUGCAAUUGUGUGAACAAGCCAAAAGAGAAAUUAAGGUGCCCCUGUUAAAUGAAUGAAGUAUUUAAUACGUUGCCAAGGUCCAGACUUGUAAUAAGCAUCUUUCCAGCAGUUGGCCAAAGGGGACAGAAGCAACAGUAAGAAGAAAGAGGAGCAGCAGGAAGUGCAAGCAGCACUCAGGGCACAUAAACUCUCAGGAAUUUUUAUCAUUCCAGCAGCCCCAGAAGAAAAUGAACUGUUUGAACAUUGCUCUGCUUCAGCAGGGAGACUUGUAAUGGGAAAAUGCUUCUGGCACACAGCAUUUGUUACCUGCCUGGGAGUUUCACCAAUUUGCUUGUAGAAUAUACAGUAGCAGACGACCUGUCCUGGUCAACCAACAUCUCUCUCGCCAAGAAGGCACAGCAGCAUCUCCACUUUUUACGGCGGCUGAAGAGAGCCAACCUACAUUGAGAGUGUCCUGACCAGCUGCAUGAUGUUACAGUUACCUGGUACAGUAACUGUAACAUCUCUGACCGUAAGUCUUUGCAGAGAAUUGCGAGUACAGCUGAAAAGAUCAUUGGAGUACCUCUUCCCUCCAUCCUGGAUAUCUACAGCACACGAUGCACACGCAAGAUCUGCAGAAUCAUAGAUGACCCUCCUCAUCUGUCCCAUGACCUAUUUGUCCCACUGCCGUCUGGCAAGCAGUACUGGAGCAUCUGGGCCAGAACUACUAGACCGUACAACAGUUUUUUCUCCCAGGCUGUCAGGCUCCUGAAUACCCUGGAGACAAUUUCAGACAAAUGCCAUGUCAAAAGCCCUGGUUUGCACAAUGGUGUAUAAGAACUUUGGCUGCUGCUGAACAUGUUUAUACAAUUAGUGUAACACACUGAGUUCUGUAUUUUCUUCGUCCAGCUUGGUUUUGCACUAAAUCUGCACUAAAUUGUAUUUUGUAUAUACUGUUUUUUGCACUAUUUGUACUUGCAUAAUUUUUUUUGUCUGCGUUAUUGUAU